RNAcentral lists this ribosomal RNA (705 nucleotides) under uncultured Pseudomonadota bacterium. RNAcentral's name for it is "bacterial SSU rRNA". It matches the Rfam family "Bacterial small subunit ribosomal RNA", at positions 60 to 760 of the family's 1533-position model. The record is from RNAcentral. Lineage: Bacteria; Pseudomonadati; Pseudomonadota.
AGUCGAACGGCAGCACGGGAGCAAUCCUGGUGGCGAGUGGCGAACGGGUGAGUAAUGUAUCGGAACGUGCCCAGUCGUGGGGGAUAACGUAGCGAAAGCUACGCUAAUACCGCAUACGAUCUGUGGAUGAAAGCGGGGGACCGUAAGGCCUCGCGCGAUUGGAGCGGCCGAUAUCAGAUUAGGUAGUUGGUGGGGUAAAGGCCUACCAAGCCGACGAUCUGUAACUGGUCUGAGAGGACGACCAGUCACACUGGGACUGAGACACGGCCCAGACUCCUACGGGAGGCAGCAGUGGGGAAUUUUGGACAAUGGGCGCAAGCCUGAUCCAGCAAUGCCGCGUGAGUGAAGAAGGCCUUCGGGUUGUAAAGCUCUUUUGUCAGGGAAGAAACGGUGAGGGCUAAUAUCCCUUGCUAAUGACGGUACCUGAAGAAUAAGCACCGGCUAACUACGUGCCAGCAGCCGCGGUAAUACGUAGGGUGCAAGCGUUAAUCGGAAUUACUGGGCGUAAAGCGUGCGCAGGCGGUUUUGUAAGUCUGUCGUGAAAUCCCCGGGCUCAACCUGGGAAUUGCGAUGGAGACUGCAAGGCUAGAAUCUGGCAGAGGGGGGUAGAAUUCCACGUGUAGCAGUGAAAUGCGUAGAGAUGUGGAGGAAUACCAAUGGCGAAGGCAGCCCCCUGGGUCAAGAUUGACGCUGAUGGACGAAAGC